GACGAACGCUGGCGGCGUGCUUAACACAUGCAAGUCGAACGAUGAAGCUCUAGCUUGCUGGGGUGGAUUAGUGGCGAACGGGUGAGUAACACGUGAGUAACCUGCCCUUUACUUCGGGAUAAGCUUGGGAAACUGGGUCUAAUACCGGAUAUUCUGCAUGGUCGGAUGGUUGUGUAGGAAAGAUUUUUUGGUAAGGGAUGGGCUCGCGGCCUAUCAGUUUGUUGGUGGGGUGAUGGCCUACCAAGGCGACGACGGGUAGCCGGCCUGAGAGGGCGACCGGCCACACUGGGACUGAGACACGGCCCAGACUCCUACGGGAGGCAGCAGUGGGGAAUAUUGCACAAUGGGGGAAACCCUGAUGCAGCGACGCCGCGUGGGGGAUGACGGCCUUCGGGUUGUAAACCUCUUUCAGUAGGGAAGAAGCGAAAGUGACGGUACCUGCAGAAGAAGUACCGGCUAACUACGUGCCAGCAGCCGCGGUAAUACGUAGGGUACUAGCGUUGUCCGGAAUUAUUGGGCGUAAAGAGCUCGUAGGUGGUUUGUCGCGUCUGCUGUGGAAACGUGCCGCUUAACGGUGCGCGUGCAGUGGGUACGGGCGGACUAGAGUGCAGUAGGGGAGUCUGGAAUUCCUGGUGUAGCGGUGAAAUGCGCAGAUAUCAGGAGGAACACCGGUGGCGAAGGCGGGACUCUGGGCUGUUACUGACGCUGAGGAGCGAAAGCAUGGGGAGCGAACAGG
This 736-nucleotide ribosomal RNA is filed under the name uncultured Brevibacterium sp. Its description in RNAcentral is "bacterial SSU rRNA". It matches the Rfam family "Bacterial small subunit ribosomal RNA", at positions 28 to 776 of the family's 1533-position model. The record is from RNAcentral. Lineage: Bacteria; Bacillati; Actinomycetota; Actinomycetes; Micrococcales; Brevibacteriaceae.